UUUGCUAAUAUAUCUAACAAGGAAAAUGGGUGUGAAAGGCAAAUUAAUUGCUUCAGUAGAGGUGAAGUGUGGAGGAGACUUGGUUCUUGAUCUUUUGCACACCAAUACACAUCAUAUGCCCAAAAUAUGUCCUAGUUAGAUCAGCCAUUUUGAGAUUCUUGAAGUGAAACCAUAAAGGUUCGUUCGAUAUAUAACUGAAAAUAUAACGACGAUGGAAAAGAUAAGACUGCUAAGGGAGUAAUUGAAGACAUCAAUCAUGAGAAGAAAUCAAGCACUUAAAAAGUGAUUCAAGGAGAUCUGCUAGAGUUAUACAAUUCUUUUACUGUUAUCACAUUAGUUGAAGAUCAGUGGGCUACAUGUACAUCGGUGUACGAGAAAAAAACAUAAGACAUACCAGAGCCUCUCGUUCUCUUGGUUUGGGCCCUUGAUGUGAUCAAACAUAUGGAAGGUCACCUUCACAAGUAUUAGAAGAUAUCUGGAGGUAUCCGAGCACUCUCAGCAUUACAUAUGUGUGUAUAUACAUGUGUGGGGCGCGCGUGUAUUUGCACAUACACACAUAUAUCUGUGUGUGUCUAUGAGUGAGUUUGCGUUAUAUAGUAUUAUAUUCUGUAAUAUUGGCUAGUUCUAGCCUGCGUGUGAAAUAAAUGAUGUUGUGUUAAGAAUAAAGUAUAAGGCAAUCUCCUUCUAUGAAUGUAUUCUCAAUGGCCAAUAUAUGUAAGAUAUGAUAAAUCUUUUUAAGUAUAAAUACAUUUUAUAUUUGUAA
Molecule: long non-coding RNA, 763 nt
Organism: Lycium barbarum (goji berry)
Lineage: Eukaryota; Viridiplantae; Streptophyta; Magnoliopsida; Solanales; Solanaceae
Exons: 2
Source: RefSeq, a predicted model, not a curated record